Molecule: transfer RNA, 61 nt
Filed under: Pantoea agglomerans
Lineage: Bacteria; Pseudomonadati; Pseudomonadota; Gammaproteobacteria; Enterobacterales; Erwiniaceae
Rfam family: tRNA
About the family: Transfer RNA (tRNA) molecules are approximately 80 nucleotides in length. Their secondary structure includes four short double-helical elements and three loops (D, anti-codon, and T loops).
Source: RNAcentral
UCGUUAGCUCAGUUGGUAGAGCAGUUGACUUUUAAUCAAUUGGUCGCAGGUUCGAAUCCUG